AUGGACAUGAAGCAGUUUCUGGGAAAUCCUGGAUCUCCUCUUGUUCCACAAAUCUUUCUUUUAGAAAGCUGACCAUUUAAAAUGGGCAUAUUCCACAAGGAAAAGCAUCCUUCCUUUGAUUUCCAUCAGAACAUUUACAAUAUGUUAAUAAUUGCCUACUAGCGACAAUAGAGCUCCCUUUACCAAAAUAAACAUAUUCAGAUUUAUCUGAUUGGACUUUGGUCAAUAGAUUUCAAACUGGCUCAUGCAAUGACUUGAAAUUUUAAGUUAAAUGGUCUGUGUACAUAUCUGCGUAUACACUCACAAUCAAAUGAUUUUUUUUUACUAGACUUGCAAGUCUUUUUUUAUGGAGCUGACACAAAUGCAAAUGGCUAUUUAACUUACUCAGAAAUAGAAAGUCUCCUAGGAGAAGAUGCCCCUAAAUGGGAGAAACUAAAGGCCUUUGAUAAGGAUAACAAUGAUAUGUAUUCCUACCUUGAGAUGAUCAGGGCUUUUGAACUGACAGAAUGAGAAGAUGAAGCACAGGAUCGAAAAAUAUGAAGUAAUGACAUCCUUUAAUUUCAUAAACAUUGCUGUAUAUUCAAUAUUUGACCUGUGAUGUUAUGAAGCUUUAUUAUAUCUCUUUUUAAAAAACACCAGCUCCUUUAUUUUCUCAAAAGAAAAGCAUUACCCUCAUUUUAUUGGUAUUGCUUUUGGAAAUAGUUUAUAAUUUCAUUCAUUUGGAUUCAGUGUUAUCUAAUUUUGACAUCUCAUAAUCAGAAGAAUGGUCACUUUCUGAUUAUCACUAUUGUUGUUCAGCCACAGCAAUUCACAAAAUGAUCUAAGGAGUAGUCUUGGUAUAUGUCCACAAAGGGUGAUACCCAAAUAGUUGUUCUGAAACAAUCCCACAAAAUCUAAAAGAAUCUAUGCUGGGAAUAGACAUCAUUAUAGGAAUAUGGCCAGAUGUGAUGAUUCUAAGAAUUGAUUUCUGAAAAAUCACCUAACUUGGAAAUUCUAAAUAUUAACAAUUCGCCUUGAUUUGCAUUUUGCUUUUUUGGAAGUUAGGCCAGAGAAUGAAGUGACUGCUCACCUUGGCAUACGUGAGAUUCCAGGUCUGCUGAAUUAUUUGUGCAUGUUGGAUUCCUCCCAUUAUAUGCAACAGGCAAACUCGGGACUUGUUGUAGACAUGAUAGUCAAACAACUUCAAUUUUUGAGUCUUUCCCAAAGUCUGCCCUGAAAUGCCUUUUCUUUUUAACCCACAUAUCAAAACACCUAAUAUCAAGUGAGAUUAUGAAAUGUGAUUCUGCAUAUGAUUAACAUUUUUCAUAUUUAAUGUGGCAUUAGCGGAAAUGUGCCUUCCCUCAAAUAUGUGUAUAUACACAAAUAUGUGUAUAACUAUAAAUG
This 1383-nucleotide long non-coding RNA is filed under the name Monodelphis domestica (gray short-tailed opossum). RNAcentral describes it as "lncRNA (ENSMODG00000033539.2)". The record is from RNAcentral. Lineage: Eukaryota; Metazoa; Chordata; Mammalia; Didelphimorphia; Didelphidae.